Molecule: non-coding RNA, 2403 nt
Filed under: Cryptosporidium parvum
Lineage: Eukaryota; Apicomplexa; Conoidasida; Eucoccidiorida; Cryptosporidiidae
Source: RNAcentral
UCGCAACAUUUUUUUGGGGUAUUUCUGAUUCAGUGUUUGUGUUGAGGUUAAUAUUUUGUUGGGAGAUGGUAUUAAAUAAAUUAAUUGGAUAAAAAUGUCUGUAAAUGACUGCUGAAGUGUAAAAAAGUGAGAUGGACCUAUAGAAUAAAGAUUUGGAAUUAAUGAGUGAUUUAAUGUUUCUCCUAACAAUCUCGCAAGAUGCAAGAACCUCUGAAGCAAUGCUUCUGUCUUCAAUCUGAUUAAUGUCAAAAGAAUCUGAGCCUAUAUAAAGUGAGCAAAGUUUACUGAGUUGAUCAAAAGUUGUUUUAUGUUGGCUAGUACUGGAGAGCCCUUUUCUUUCAUACUCAAGAAAAGUUUCAGGAGAUGAAAGUUCUUCAAAACACCCAAGUGAAAGAGGAGGAAGAAUCUCUCCUCCAAUUUCUUGGUCAUUACUGAAUAAUUCUGUAUCAAAUUCAUUACAAAAUUCAAUUAAUUGACUUUUUGAAAGAUGAGAGUAUUCUGCUGAAGUUUUAUAAAGUUUGGAAAUGUUUAUUAAUGUAUCAAGUACUAUAUUAUUCUGAUUAUUGUUAUUGUUUAAUAUAGUAAUACCAGAACGAUCUUCAAUUUUAUUACUGUCAUCUUUUCCAUUCAAUUCAUCUGAAAUUACAUUAUCGCAUUGGCUAUUAUUAUUAUUAAUAUUAAUCACAAUAUUUUGAAUUGAUCUAGCAAUUGAAGAGAGAAUAUCACCAAGGUUUUCAUUUUCAAACUUAAACGUACAAUUCUCUCUACAAGAUUCUGAAAUUCUGGAAAUGAUUUUUUCGUGUUUAUUACCUAUAGAUAAUGGGAUUAACGAGAAUUCAAGUCCAUCUGGAUAUUUAUGAUGAUUAUUCUGACAUAGCUUUGUAUCUUCUUUUAUACUUUGAUCUUGAAUAAAGCUCUUAUUAACAAGGUGAAAAAAAAGUACUGAAGCAAGUUUUUGCAAUGUCUGAGAAAGCCAUAGUGAUGACAAAAAUUUAAAUUUUGGAUGAUUUGUUCCAAAUUCUCGAAGUGUUCUACAAUGAAUCUUUAAAUGAAUCAUUGCUUUUUGGAUCUCACCAUUUAUCACAUGAAUGUGGUAAAGUCUUAAACUUAUUAUAUUGCAAAGAAUUACAAAUUGAUAAGAAGGUAUACUUGUCUCGUUCAUUAUAUUAUCCCAAGCUGCAAUAUACUGUUUUACAGCCAAUGCAAAAUUCCCACAAAACUCAUUCAUUACAGCACUCUUUAUACAAUAUCUUAUUAAUAAUACUUUUGAUUGGAGUUGAGUCAUUGUUUGACAACCAUUCCCAGAAGUACUUGAGGCAAAAGAAUUAUUCUUAUUGGAUCUAGAUAAAGUAUUUGCAUUUGUCAAGCUUACAUUCUUGAGAAGAUUAUUCACACUAUUUGAGCUUGAAUUAGCUGCUGAAAAGAAUGAAUUUCUACCAAAUCUUGGAGAUAAACUAGAUUGUAUACUAUUCGAUACAGAAUAUCUUAAUCCAGUGGAUGAACUUUUCAUUGAUAAACUUCCAAUAAAUGAAUCACUUGAAGCCGUUAUACCAGCUGUCUGUGCUUUAAUUGCAGACUUUCUCCAUCUUCGCUCAUUCUCACUAUAAUAUGCUUGAGCCGUUUCAUAAGCCAUUUCAGCUAAUCUCUCAAUUCUGAUAUUUAAUUGUUUUUGAUGUUUUAAUCCACAUGUUACAAAUAUUGCCUGUAGCUCAGGAAAAUGAUUUCUUCUGAAACAAGUUACACAUGAUUGAGGAUCUGGAGUACCUGAUGGUAAAAUUACAAAAAUUAAUACUGAUGGUGGGGAUUGUCUCUUUUUUAAUAUGGAUGUAAUAUUUUUAAUUAUAUUAAGAGCAUCAUUUUCAAGUUCAUUAAUAAUUUCUUGAUCUUGAUUAUUUUCUGUUUCUUCCGAAUUUGAAUUAUUGGUAUUUAUUGGGUAUUUCUGCCAGUCAAAACAAAGAAUAUAUAGAGCUGGUGUUUCAUAUCUAACUUUAUUCAUCCAAUUUAUAUUCAAAAUAUCGAUUCCUCCAAGAUAAUUACCAGUUCGAUUCCCUAAUAUUACACAAUUUGAAUUUGAAAUUGAAUAUGGAGAUUUUAAUAGAGUUUUUGAUGGAGAUGUUGCACUUGGUGUUGGAGUUGGAUUAAUAAGCUCUGAAUAAGUCAUGCAUUUCAACUCUAGGUAUUUGUCACAAGGGAAACAUGAUUUUGGUCUAAAUGAAUCAAUACUUUUUGAAAUAUGCUCCUGUAUAUUUUUUGGAGCUAUUAAAGCAAUUAAAGGCUUGAAGUAGCCUUGCCAAUCGGGAUGAAAUCCUUCCAUUUUUAAUUAUUUUUUUUUUAAUAGCCUUUAAUCAAAAAAAAUGUUUCAUCAAAAGUUUUGUUUUACCACAUUAGUAAUUAAUAAUUCCU